Molecule: transfer RNA, 96 nt
Filed under: Aromia moschata
Lineage: Eukaryota; Metazoa; Arthropoda; Insecta; Coleoptera; Cerambycidae
Description: tRNA-OTHER
Source: RNAcentral
GCCGCGGCGAUAGCUCAGUGAAUAAAGCGCCGGGUGAGAAGAUGGCAAUUACUCCGAGAGCUAUUAUCCGCGCGGGUUCGAAUCCCGCCUAUGGCA